UGGGGAAUAUUGGGCAAUGGGCGCAAGCCUGACCCAGCAACGCCGCGUGAAGGAAGAAGGCUUUCGGGUUGUAAACUUCUUUUGACAGGGAAGAGUAGAAGACGGUACCUGUCGAAUAAGCCACGGCUAACUACGUGCCAGCAGCCGCGGUAAUACGUAGGUGGCAAGCGUUGUCCGGAUUUACUGGGUGUAAAGGGCGUGUAGCCGGGUUGACAAGUCAGAUGUGAAAUCCUGCGGCUUAACCGCAGAACUGCAUUUGAAACUGUUGAUCUUGAGUACUGGAGAGGCAGACGGAAUUCCUAGUGUAGCGGUGAAAUGCGUAGAUAUUAGGAGGAACACCAGUGGCGAAGGCGGUCUGCUGGACAGCAACUGACGGUGAGGCGCGAAAGCGUGGGGAGCAAACAGG
This 406-nucleotide ribosomal RNA is filed under the name uncultured bacterium. Its description in RNAcentral is "bacterial SSU rRNA". It matches the Rfam family "Bacterial small subunit ribosomal RNA", at positions 355 to 776 of the family's 1533-position model. The record is from RNAcentral. RNAcentral also lists the same sequence under 1 other name.